Molecule: ribosomal RNA, 145 nt
Filed under: Pomatoschistus minutus (sand goby)
Lineage: Eukaryota; Metazoa; Chordata; Actinopteri; Gobiiformes; Gobiidae
Also listed under: 1 other name
Description: partial small subunit ribosomal RNA
Source: RNAcentral
AACUGGGAUUAGAUACCCCACUAUGCCUAGCCGUAAACAAAAGUGACUAACCUACACCACCUCGCUUGCCAGGGAACUACGAGCCCCAGCUUAAAACCCAAAGGACUUGGCGGUGCUUUAGACCCCCCUAGAGGAGCCUGUUCUA